UGGGGCGUGGCCAAGUGGUAAGGCAACGGGUUUUGAUCCCGCUAUUCGGAGGUUCGAAUCCUUCCGUCCCAG
Molecule: transfer RNA, 72 nt
Filed under: Adoxa moschatellina (townhall clock)
Lineage: Eukaryota; Viridiplantae; Streptophyta; Magnoliopsida; Dipsacales; Adoxaceae
Also listed under: 22 other names
Description: tRNA-Gln
Rfam family: tRNA
About the family: Transfer RNA (tRNA) molecules are approximately 80 nucleotides in length. Their secondary structure includes four short double-helical elements and three loops (D, anti-codon, and T loops).
Source: RNAcentral